GGAACAUCAAAUAGCCUUGCUAGGGUAAAAAGUCAGCUUUAGAUCAGAACAUCUGGUCAACAGCAAGAUCAGGACAUAGCACACUGACUGCACUGCGAAACAACCAGCAAGAACAGUUAACCAGAAGAGUGUUGUUUAUCAACUAGCUCCACCAGACCAGCACUAACCAGCUACACUAGCUUGGACCUGAAUGCAAUGCAAGCUUGAACGCGAUUAUGAAGUGUCGCUGAUGUUGGAAAGAACAACAGGAGGAGACUUCCGACCUUUUGGGGUUGUAAAGUGAAAUGUCUGAGACAGAAACACAGAGUCCGCCAUCUCACAAAGAAAACACGCUGCUGACCACACAUCCGGACAAUUAAUACCUUGUUUUUAAUGCUUUUUUUUUUUGUUGUUUUGUUUUGUUUUUUUACUGCUUAAUCAUCGUUCAAGAACAAAAGCUCUACAGUAUAAGAUCUGAAUGACCCUGAAAUGUGUGUUCCAAAUCCGUUUUAAAAUUAAGUGCCUGCUUACAGAACCUCCCAUGGCAGAAACUGACCUUCUGUUUUGUUAAUCCAAAAAUCAGGAACUCAUUAAAUGUCCAUAUUCGUCAGUUUCUUUUUAUUACCAAUUUCGAACCGAUAUUUUUACUUCAGCAUUUAAAAUAAUAUUUUUUUUCGCCAUUUAAUCUUCAACAUCACAGUUGUUCACGCUUUUUAAAACUUAUUUUUAAAAUUCAUACUAUAUUUGUGUAAUGUAUGCAAUACAUAUUUGUAAACUCUGUAGAACUUAAGUGGAUGUUUAUUGCAAUUUUUAAUGUAAAGUGCUGAACUGCCUUUCAAUGUGUAUAUAUAAUAUUUGUUGUAUAAAUACGUUCAUUAUUUAUCUAUGUAAUAGUGCUCUCUCUCUCUCUCUCUCUCUCUCUCUCUCUCUCUCUCUCUCUCUCUCUGUGUGUGUGUGUGUGUGUGUGUGUGUGUGUGUGUGUGUGUGUGUGUGUGUGUGUGUGUUUACCUGUUAGUGCUUUAGCUGUAAAAUUGUUUUGAUCUGCCAAAGUAAUAUAUAUAUAUAUAUAU
This is a long non-coding RNA of Ictalurus punctatus (channel catfish), 1049 nucleotides long. Lineage: Eukaryota; Metazoa; Chordata; Actinopteri; Siluriformes; Ictaluridae. The record is from Ensembl.